RNAcentral lists this signal recognition particle RNA (282 nucleotides) under Neogale vison (American mink). RNAcentral's name for it is "Neovison vison (American mink) Metazoan signal recognition particle RNA (ENSNVIG00000001405.1)". It matches the Rfam family "Metazoan signal recognition particle RNA". Rfam says of the family: The signal recognition particle (SRP) is a universally conserved ribonucleoprotein. It is involved in the co-translational targeting of proteins to membranes. The record is from RNAcentral. Lineage: Eukaryota; Metazoa; Chordata; Mammalia; Carnivora; Mustelidae.
GCCGGACGCGGUGGCGCGCGCCUGUAGUCCCAGCUACUCGGGAGGCUGAGGCAGGAGGAUCGCUUGAGCCCAGGGGUUCUGGGCUUUAGAGUGCUAUGCCGAUCGGGUGUCCGCACUAAGUUGGGCAUCAAUAUGGUGACCUCCCGGGAGCGGGGGACCACCAGGUUGCCUAAGGAGGGGUGAACCGGCCCAGGUCAGAAAUGCAUGAUGUUAUUUUAAUUUGCAUUAUUUAUUUACUAAAAUUGUGAAUAUUUUCUUGGUCUACUCUGUAUUUUUUCCUGU